CAGUCGCCGCGGUAAUACGAAGGGGGCUAGCGUUGCUCGGAAUUACUGGGCGUAAAGGGCGCGUAGGCGGACAGUUCAGUCGGGGGUGAAAGCCCGGGGCUCAACCUCGGAAUUGCCUUCGAUACUGGCUGUCUUGAGUAUGAGAGAGGUGUGUGGAACUCCGAGUGUAGAGGUGAAAUUCGUAGAUAUUCGGAAGAACACCAGUGGCGAAGGCGACACACUGGCUCAUUACUGACGCUGAGGCGCGAAAGCGUGGGGAGCAAACAGGAUUAGAUACCCCGGUAGUCCCUGUCUCUUAUAC
Molecule: ribosomal RNA, 301 nt
Filed under: uncultured bacterium
Lineage: Bacteria
Description: partial 16S ribosomal RNA
Rfam family: Bacterial small subunit ribosomal RNA
Source: RNAcentral